RNAcentral lists this ribosomal RNA (253 nucleotides) under uncultured bacterium. Its description in RNAcentral is "partial 16S ribosomal RNA". It matches the Rfam family "Bacterial small subunit ribosomal RNA", at positions 524 to 776 of the family's 1533-position model. The record is from RNAcentral.
UACGGGGGGGGCAAGCGUUGUUCGGAAUUACUGGGCGUAAAGGGCUCGUAGGUGGCCAACUAAGUCAGACGUGAAAUCCCUCGGCUUAACCGGGGAACUGCGUCUGAUACUGGAUGGCUUGAGUUUGGGAGAGGGAUGCGGAAUUCCAGGUGUAGCGGUGAAAUGCGUAGAUAUCUGGAGGAACACCGGUGGCGAAGGCGGCAUCCUGGACCGGUAUUGACGCUAAGGCGCGAAAGCGUGGGGAGCAAACAGG